GAUGAACGCUGGCGGCGUGCUUAACACAUGCAAGUCGAACGGAAAGGCCCUGAUUUUGUGGGGUUCCCGAGUGGCGAACGCGUGAGGAUCACGUGUGUAUCCUGCCCUUGUCUUUCGGAUAACUUCACGAAACUGGGGCUAAUAUCGGAUAGGAGCUCCUGCUCCAUGGUGGGGGUUGGAACGUUUCGGCUGUUGGGGAUGGACUCGCGGCUUACCAGCUUGCUGGUGGGGUAGUGGCUUACCCAGGCUUUGACGGCUAGGCGGCAUGUGAGGGUGAACGGCCACAAUGGGACUAAGAUACGGCGCAGUCUCGUACGGGAGGCAGCAGUGGGGAGUAUUACACAGUGAGCGGGAGCCUGAUACGAAGGCGCCGGGUGCGGAAAGCCGGCCUUCGGGUUAAGAACCGCUGUCGCCUGAGACGAAGCGUGAGUGACGGUAAUGAAUAAAGAAGCACCGGCUAACUACGUG
This 468-nucleotide ribosomal RNA is filed under the name uncultured bacterium. RNAcentral describes it as "partial 16S ribosomal RNA". It matches the Rfam family "Bacterial small subunit ribosomal RNA", at positions 28 to 507 of the family's 1533-position model. The record is from RNAcentral.